CUCUGACAUCUUGAAGACGAUUGGGGAAGCGCGUCCCGGAAGCCGCCCGCCGCCAUCUUGGGUAAACGGUUCCCUGUGCAUUGUCUGAUGUGAAAGGAAAGAAGUAGGCUUUCAGCAAGCCUCUUGUCCGGAGACGAUCUACGGGGGCCGCCUCCAGAGGAUUCUGGAGCCGCCAUCUUGGCAAAGGAAGAGAUACUCGCCACCUCGGAAAAGAAGAGGGAACCAACCGUAUGCCAACGUAGAACCCUCAGCCAGAAGAAUUUUUAUGAAGGGCGCUGAGCAACUCCAUGUUAACAAAACCCCCUUCUGGACCCA
RNAcentral lists this long non-coding RNA (315 nucleotides) under Homo sapiens (human). RNAcentral's name for it is "HSALNT0095683". Lineage: Eukaryota; Metazoa; Chordata; Mammalia; Primates; Hominidae. The record is from RNAcentral.